UUAGGACGAGGAACACUGAUUCUUUAAAGAAUGCUUUCUUGGGGAGCAGGAUCUCACACAGGCCAUGAAGCUAUGAAAGAAUAUUUGCCUGGAGUGCCCUUUUGCUGUCUUCUGCCAUUUAAUGUGAUCACCACCCUGAUAAGCACAAAGACAGCCAAAGAAAAGUACUUUUUCUUUUAGCACUGAGUUGGGCCUUGGUGUCACACCCUCCUCCAUACAUCUGACUUCUGUUACUCCUUGGGAACUUUGGAUAUCAGACUAUAAAUGCUAAGGGAACAUUAUUAUUUAUAUAUUUAAGAGUACCAUGUGGCCUCAGUUUGUUUUGAAAGUACGGCAUGUGUAAGACCCAAAAAGCCAAGAUCUCCACAGCAGCUGUUUUCACAAACUCAAGAUUUGGAGAUUUGAGAUAUCAGACAGUUGAGAAGCUGGCUUUCAUCACCUUGUCUGAAAGUCUGUGUGGGUGACUGACUUCCAUGGAAGAUCAGAGAAGAUCAGACCUGUUGGUACCUGCUGGAGAGGCUGAAAAACAAAAGUCCCAGUUCUUUUCUGCUGG
Molecule: long non-coding RNA, 553 nt
Organism: Hirundo rustica (Barn swallow)
Lineage: Eukaryota; Metazoa; Chordata; Aves; Passeriformes; Hirundinidae
Exons: 3
Source: RefSeq, a predicted model, not a curated record